CAGUAUGACAGACAACCCCCCCACCCCCAGUAUAUAGUGGGAGCCAGGCAUUAGGGUAGGAAGCGAGGUGCUAGGUAUGAGGAAGCCAACAGCCCCAGUCCUCUGCCUGACUUGUAGAUGGAGAGCAACUCUGGGCAGAGGUCUUGAAGGCUGGGGCUGUGUUGGACAGCAACCAUACAGUGGGUGUCCUGGCCAGCACCCAUCACCCUGAAGGUCCCUCAGAGGCCUGGAGAACCACUGUCCUGAUCUACACUAGUGAUGACACCCACAUACACCCUAACGACAGUAUCCCUGUUAUUCUUCAUCUGCGUGGAGUACCUCCUGGCUUGGGACCCAGUGGCUGAGGCACCGCGCCCAUUUCCUGCUAGGGGCCGCCUGACCCUGUACCGUAAACUUCCAGUGCCAUCUCUCAUGCUGGUUCAUUUAUGCGCACGCCCCUUGGAGCCACCAGGGCAGGCAAGUCAGCCGGCUCCGUGCACUGCCCCUGACACGUGGGCAGCUGGUUCUGGUCUGGUCGGAUGAGCAUGUGGGCUCCAAGUGCCUGUGGACAUAUGAGAUCCAGUUUUCCCAGAAGGGUGAAGUAUAUGCCCCAAUCAACAGGAGGCCGUCUACUUUUAACCUAUUUGUGUUCAGCCCCGACACAGCUGUGGUCUCUGGCUUCUACCGAGUGCGAGCAGUGGACUACUGGGCCCGGCCGGGCCCCUUCUCCGACCCUGUGACUUACCUGGAUACCCCUGCCUCCUGAAAACC
RNAcentral lists this long non-coding RNA (750 nucleotides) under Rattus norvegicus (Norway rat). RNAcentral describes it as "long non-coding RNA NONRATT009673". Lineage: Eukaryota; Metazoa; Chordata; Mammalia; Rodentia; Muridae. The record is from RNAcentral.